AUGGCGAAAACCAUGCUGCUCCUGCUGCUCUGCGCGACGAUCGCGGCACACGCGCACGCGCAGGCGCCGACGCAGCCGGCUGCGGAGGAGACGCCGCCUGGGGCGGGCGUGAAGGUGUCGUUCCGGCCGAGCGUGGCCAUCGUGGUGGGCAUCUUCACCAUGAUCUUCUCCCUCACCUUCCUCCUCCUCAUGUACGCCAAGUUCUGCCACCCCGCCAACACGCCCCUCCUCCCCGCCACCACCACCGCCAGCCCCUCCCGCGCGCCCGCCCCCGACGCCUUGAUCGAGUCGGAGGCCAGCGCCGGCGUGGGCAAGGCGGUGAUCGAGUCGCUGCCCUUCUUCCGGUUCGCGGCGCUGCGCGGGGCGCGGCAGGGCCUGGAGUGCGCCGUGUGCCUGGCCCGCUUCGACGACGCCGACCUGCUCCGCCUGCUCCCCCGCUGCCGCCACGCCUUCCACCUCGACUGCGUCGAUCGCUGGCUGCACUCCAGCGCCAGCUGCCCGCUCUGCCGCGCCCGCGUCCACCCCGACGACGCCGACCUCGGCCUCAAGUACGCCGCCGCCAGCGCGCGCUUCGUCUUCGGAGCAGGCGACAACGCAGCCGCCGUUGGUGCCGCCCCCGCACCGUCCUCCGGCCGCGACCUCCUCGCAGGCAUCUUCGUCGAGCGCGUGCCGUCGGCGCGCUUCGGCGGCAUAGGAGACGCUGGCGCCGGUGAUGAUGCUGGUGCUGCUGAUGAGUCUAACUCUAAGCUGGACCGGCACCGGCAUCGCAUCGUGGUGUCGGACAGCGUGUUCAAGAGCCGGUGGAGCGACCUCAACUCGGCGGACCUCAUCGCGCUGGACACGGAGAUGCUGCGCUCCGUCUCCAGCGGCCGCUUCCCCUACCCCUACCCCGACGACGACAUUAUCUUCCUAGGAGACGAGCCGCCGGAGGAGCGCGGCCACCGAGACGAUCACGACGGCGCCGGCGUGUCCAUUGAGAUUGAGAGGAAGCGGCUGCUGGACGUGGAGAGCGGGAGCGGCAGCAAGGCGGCGCCCAGCCUGGUACGUGGACUUGGAGGGUGCGGCGGCUCCGACGCCGUGGAGCCAUCGUCGGUGCGCGCGGCGUCGAGGCUGGUGUCGUCGGGCGUGCGGUCUAUGUCGGAGAUCGUGCGGCUGCCUCGGGUGGCGGUAAGGACGGAGGAGGAGGAGAGGGCGCGGCAGCGGUGGGUGCCCAUCGCGCGGCGGACGGCGCGGUGGUUGGCCAGCCGGAGCAGGAGCAGGGAGGAGGACGUCAACGCCGCCGACCGCCUCCGUGUGUAA
RNAcentral lists this ribosomal RNA (1299 nucleotides) under Triticum aestivum (bread wheat). RNAcentral describes it as "partial small subunit ribosomal RNA". The record is from RNAcentral. Lineage: Eukaryota; Viridiplantae; Streptophyta; Magnoliopsida; Poales; Poaceae.